CACUAAGAAGCUACACCAGCACUAGCCUUUUAAGCUAGAGAGGGAAACUAUUUUCCCUUAGUGA
Molecule: transfer RNA, 64 nt
Filed under: Zootoca vivipara (common lizard)
Lineage: Eukaryota; Metazoa; Chordata; Lepidosauria; Squamata; Lacertidae
Description: tRNA-Lys
Source: RNAcentral